Molecule: long non-coding RNA, 2687 nt
Filed under: Zea mays
Lineage: Eukaryota; Viridiplantae; Streptophyta; Magnoliopsida; Poales; Poaceae
Description: long non-coding RNA (ZMAY_LNC001682)
Source: RNAcentral
CGGGGCAUCGCGCGGAUGCCGAGCACCGAGCUGACCAACUCCUCGGCGCAUAAAACGCACUAGGCCACGCUCCCUUCGUUCUUGACCUGACGCGUGUACUCAAAGGGAGAAGGUCGUGAGAGAGGGGGGGUGAGUAACGGAGUCCGCCGUGACCAACCGGGCGAGUCGUCGUUCCUGUCGCCAUUCAUCGCGCUCGGAGCCAAAUUGGACCACUGUGUGCGACCGGACGACUCCAUCCGCGUUCUGGAUCACUUCAGUGGCGUGGGCGAGAAUUGUGUGUGACUCGGGCGCACCCAAUUCAUUGCUGUCGAACCGCGCCGCCAUCGAUCCGUGCUUCGCCGGAGCCUGGGGCCACUGCACUGCGAGUUCCGGUACGAACCGCACGUCUAUGUUCACUUUCAUCCCCGCCAUGUGUAGCAUCGUUCCAUACCGAUAAUCGAGUGUCUGGGUGAGCGUAUUUGGGCAUCGCCAUCGAUGUCCCGUCGCGGCGCACUUGGGCUGGGGGCGAGUACUUAGGCCCUAGAGUUCUCGAGGAAAACCAUUCCCAUAUCUUUGCUCCCUCGGUACCGUUGUUUAGGACCGAUCGGAUUAGAGUUUGGGGCCGGAGUGGCGUGCAGCAGCUUCUCCGGCCAUGGCGCCACCGCAUGCGGGGUGCUCUGCCGUGCUUGUUCGCCGGGGGGAAAUAGAGAUAGAGAACGGUGCGUUCAGUGCCGUCAAUCUCAGGGUUAGCGGUUCCGAUCUGACCAGGCGUACCGCUUCGGAUAGGACUAAUAGGAGUCCUUAGAUGUUGAUCGGACGGAUUCGACUGACCGCGCCUGUUUAAAAUCCUCGUCGUUGGUUUGAGAUCCAUCAGCCACCAAUGCGUACCACUUCGGUAUAGUGUAGGUUUAAUCUGUACCGCCUGAUUCUAAUCCAACGACCGAGAUCAAAUCAUACCUCUUCGCCGAGCCGGUUUUGCAAACGCGUCCUCGGACUUUUAGUGAAUCAACUCGCGGUCCAGCGCGGAUAGUUCUUCUGUGUCUUAGGAAAUAUUGCGUCGAGCCCCCUGUGUUUCCCUAUUUUAGUGCGCGUAGUCCAGAGUCCAUUUAAAUUGGAUAAAUGAAUUAGAAAAUGAAUAUUUAACAUGAAAAUAUUUGCUAGAACUUGUAUAAAUCAUAGAAAAUUCAUGUGACCUCCAAAUUGAUCCAUUCCAGUUUCUAAAAUUUUGUAAUAUUAUUGAUUAUCACCUAGAGUCUCUGUUUUGACAUGAAAACAAUAGUAAAAUUAAUUUCUCACUUAAUCAUAUUUCAAGCACAUAAAAUCUUUGGAAAUUCAUAACUUAAAAUCCAUAACUCCAAAAUUAAUGAUUCAUGUUCCUAUGAUCUUAUUUUAUUGUGUAUAAUAUUAUUAUGUAUUUUGUUUACAUGUUUGGUGUGAUGUUAAUUUUCUCUAUGUGUUGUCUUUAUUUGUAUUGUGGCGAGUAGAAGAGCCUGUGACUGAGGAUCCUGGUGGCCAGCAGAUAGAAGUUGCUGAGCAGGAGCUCAUUGAAGGCAAGUUGUGCCCUUGACCACUUUUUACCCAAUAAUGUUCUUUAAUAUCACUUAUUCAUGCAUAGAUUUAAUUUUGAUGGGACCCAAUAGGUCACCCUAGUCUGUUUAUCCAUUUUACCUUGUUUACCCUUGAAUCAUUUGGGUAGUUAUGCUAUUUCUUUACAUGGUUUUGGGUUAAUAUUUCAUUGUAUCCAUGUUCCGAUUAUUCUGUUAUUUAUUUAUGUUCAUGUCAAGAUCAUUAUCUUUAAUUAGAACAUGGAGCUUAACUUGAGAAACACGUGCCACCACAAGGGAGGAAUGGGACCCCUUGGCUAACUAAUUAGGAAAGCUAGUGGAAGACUACCUUACCCGAAAGGGGCAAGGGUAGUAGGGGAGUUGCAUGCAGGAAGGUUCUCGGGUUGAUUUUGCUGCGAUGGCGGUCAGACGAGGGAUUCUUGCAAGUGCUCUUCCCAUAAACUGUAGCGGUUUUUCGGAAGCUAGUGGCACUUUGUAAAGGCCUUGUAGUGUUGUACUGCCUCGCUUCCUUGGUAGAGGUGUAUGGGAGUCACGAUCCCUUGGCAGAUGGGUAACAUGACUUGUGGGUAUAGGGUACAACCUCUACAGAGUGUAAAACUAGUAUACUAGCCGAGCUCACGGUCAUGAGAAGCUCAAGACUCUCGCAUGAUUAAUUUAUGGAACUUAAGUUCAAUUUGUCAUAUGCAUUGCAUGAGAUUAUUUAUUAAUUUUGUUCUAUUACUUUUAUUAUGGUUUGGUAUUCACUUACAUUUAGUAACUGCUAAUAAAAUUUGACCAACUUACUAAAAGCAAUGCUCAGCUUUAACCCCUAUUGUUGAUUAGCCUUACACAUCACAUGAACUCCCACCUUUGGUGAGUUCAUGCACACUGGUUUUCCCACAACUUGUUGAGCUAUGAUCAUGUGUGAGCUCACCCUUGCUGUCUCGCACCCCCCACAAGAGAAGAACAGGUGAUUCAAGAGGAGUCACACGAGGAGUUUGAUCUGAUCUAGGUGGCGUUUCCGAGUUGACUUAUUGGCGCCAAGGAUGGAUUUAGUUUGUUUUAUAUUUAUAUUUUAUUUUUGUAAGACUUCCGCUAUGUAAUAAGUACUCUGAUGUUAUUGUGACAUUUAUCUCUAUACACUCUGUUAUUAUAUAUGUUGUC